RNAcentral lists this ribosomal RNA (294 nucleotides) under uncultured bacterium. RNAcentral describes it as "partial 16S ribosomal RNA". It matches the Rfam family "Bacterial small subunit ribosomal RNA", at positions 775 to 1067 of the family's 1533-position model. The record is from RNAcentral.
GGAUUAGAUACCCUGGUAGUCCACGCCGUAAACGCUGUCUACUAGCUGUAUGCGGAUUCAUUUCUGUGUGUAGCGAAGCUAACGCGCUAAGUAGACCGCCUGGGGAGUACGGCCGCAAGGUUAAAACUCAAAUGAAUUGACGGGGGCCCGCACAAGCGGUGGAGCAUGUGGUUUAAUUCGAUGCAACGCGAAGAACCUUACCUACACUUGACAUGCAGAGAACUUUCCAGAGAUGGAUUGGUGCCUUCGGGAACUCUGACACAGGUGCUGCAUGGCUGUCGUCAGCUCGUGCCG